GGCGGCAGCACCGCCCGCCGCGCCGGCGGCGCCUGGCGGCCUCGUCCCUGGCGGCUCCCAGCGGUGCGCCGCGGGCGGAGCCCCAGGGCAGCUGCGUGCGAGACUAUCCCGUUUUAUUCCCGCAUGGAAAUUACAGUCCUGCCGCUUCACGAGCACGACUCCCCUUCAUCUUUUGGAGACCGUUUACUAUCAGGCAUGUUUUAAAGGAUUUAAGUCCCAUUUGAACAAUAAAAAGGAGUCUGGCUCAUCUACUGCCGGCAAUGGACACACCAAGAUGCGUAGAGGAAAUUGUUACAACAUUCACCUGGACUUUUUGGUUAAUUUUCCUUACCUGUUCUUUAGCACAGGUAUUAGUAAAGCAGGAAAAUACACACAAGUAUUUUCUUAAUAAAAGACUACAGGGUAUCAGAAUUUCCAGCUAUAGAAGAAGUGAAGUUUAUGAAGUUAUGGAAUGAAUGGCAUCAACUCUAAAAAGGAUGCUUAAAAAAAAAAAACUACACUGAAUAGUAAGUGGGAAAGCAGAUAAGCUUUAAAAAUCAGCAGGAACUAAAAUAAAAUGCAAGUAUUUGAAUUUUUUGUCUCCAAAAUCCUCCAUAUCAUUU
Molecule: long non-coding RNA, 602 nt
Organism: Rhea pennata
Lineage: Eukaryota; Metazoa; Chordata; Aves; Rheiformes; Rheidae
Exons: 3
Source: RefSeq, a predicted model, not a curated record